UCGGGAAUCUUGCGCAAUGGGCGAAAGCCUGACGCAGCAACACCGUGUGAGCGACGAAGGCCUUCGGGUCGUAAAGCUCUGUUGUUGGGGACGAAGGGCGAAGGGUUAAUAGCCCCUAGCCUGACGGUACCCUUCGAGGAAGCCCCGGCUAACUACGUGCCAGCAGCCGCGGUAAUACGUAGGGGGCGAGCGUUGUCCGGAAUCAUUGGGCGUAAAGAGCGUGUAGGCGGUUCGGUAAGUCUGCCGUGAAAACCUAGGGCUCAACCCUGGGCGUGCGGUGGAAACUGUCGAACUAGAGGAUGGUAGAGGGGAGUGGAAUUCCCGGUGUAGCGGUGAAAUGCGCAGAUAUCGGGAGGAACACCAGUAGCGAAGGCGGCUCCCUGGGCCAUUCCUGACGCUGAGACGCGAAAGCGUGGGGAGCAAACAG
RNAcentral lists this ribosomal RNA (427 nucleotides) under uncultured bacterium. RNAcentral's name for it is "bacterial SSU rRNA". It matches the Rfam family "Bacterial small subunit ribosomal RNA", at positions 355 to 775 of the family's 1533-position model. The record is from RNAcentral.